Long non-coding RNA from Hippocampus zosterae (dwarf seahorse), 518 nucleotides. RefSeq lists it as uncharacterized. The transcript is spliced from 3 exons. NCBI's taxonomy places the organism in Eukaryota, Metazoa, Chordata, Actinopteri, Syngnathiformes, Syngnathidae. The record is from RefSeq and is a predicted model, not a curated record.
UACCAGCACACUUUGCGUGGUUAGUGCUACUACAGAUGAAACUUUAUCUGUGGAGGUUUAAUAUUUAAAGACAGUGGAGAGUUUGGUUCCACGCUCAUGGAACUGGAUCAAAUCUUGCUUGUUCUCACGGUCAGGACACAGGUUCCCAAAAUGAUGCACAGAAAGUAACUUCUCGGAUCUGGUUGGCGAACAGCUGAUCCUGGGUCCUUCAUACUAACCUUUCUGGGAAAGAAAGUAGGGCGACAGCACUCUGUGGCCCCCGCAGGCAAGAAAUGUGCCUGGGAGGGAAACAACCCAUUCACCUGCCCAGAAGAUCGCACAGUGUCUUCCAACCCUGGAAUGGUCCCAGUGGCGACACACGACCUGGAUCUACCAGGAAGCGUUGCGCCAUUUAUGGAUGAGUGCUCAUAUCAAGAAGCCAGAGUGGGCACAACACACCAAGUCUGAUAUGCAAACUGCUCAUCGUCACUUUAAAUUAACUCAUAAACCCAAAAAGAAUUAAAUAUGAAUGAAAACGA